AACGUACAACCUCACUCGCGGAACUCUCCACGCGCCUCUCCAAAACCUUCCUUAAUGGAAGAACUUUCACUCUCAAGUAUCAACUCCCAAACGAAGACCUGGAUUCGUUAAUUUCAGUUACAACCGAUGAAGACCUAGAAAACAUGAUCGACGAAUACGAUCGAACAAACGCUGCUAAUCCAUCACUCAAACCCUCACGAAUUCGUCUUUUUCUAUUUCCAACGAAACCUGAAUCUGCUCACUCAAUUCC
This 250-nucleotide long non-coding RNA is filed under the name Cicer arietinum (chickpea). RNAcentral's name for it is "long non-coding RNA (CARI_LNC001081)". The record is from RNAcentral. Lineage: Eukaryota; Viridiplantae; Streptophyta; Magnoliopsida; Fabales; Fabaceae.